This is an RNA transcript of Tupaia belangeri chinensis (Chinese tree shrew), 829 nucleotides long. It is a transcript of the gene named zinc finger protein 809-like, with no coding region annotated. Lineage: Eukaryota; Metazoa; Chordata; Mammalia; Scandentia; Tupaiidae. The transcript is spliced from 7 exons. The record is from RefSeq and is a predicted model, not a curated record.
GUUCUGGUGCCCGAGGCCGGCUGCAUUUCCAGCCUGUACUUUACAUCCCAGCAUUCCAACAGUGGGAAAUGUAGUCUUUGAUCCGAUUACGUCAUCAUCACCGGCCAAGGAAGGCGGCUUUUUCGUGCCUGUGGCGCUUUGUUCCUUCCGCGUGGCUGGGGAGAACCUGCCGCCGUGCUGACCGUGCUCUGCCGGACACGGUGUCCAUGACGGCAGAGUGUUCCUAUGGCAGCUGUGUUUGUGGGGUGUCUUAAAGUGAGUAAAGCCUCUGGUCCCCUCCAGCAUUUCUUUGGCCUGCCUAGCAGUCCUGGAGUGAACAAAAUAACCCUACCUUCUCCUGAAACACUGGAUGGCAUUUAAAGGUAAAUUUUAGAAUUUUGGCCCCUUUUUAAUGAAGAAAAAGAACAUACUGGAGUGUUGAUGGGAUAUUUAUAUUAGUGACAGGGAACACUUCAUUUUGAUGAAUUUUGAGAAACUUGUCAUCUCUGUAAAGCUAUAAUUUUAGAAACAUCUGUAUUUGUUCAGGAUUAAGAAAAUGAAUUCAUUUUCGGAGUUCAUUUCAUUUGAGGAUGUUGCUAUGGACUUUACCUGGGAGGAGUGGCAGGGCCUCAAAGAUGCUCAGAAGAUUCUAUACAAGGAUGUGAUGCUGGAGACCUACAGAAACCUGGUGUUUUUGGGACACUGCAUUGCCAAACCUGCAGUCAUCUUGAAGUUGGAGCAAGAAGGAGAGCCAUGGACAUUAGGAGAACAACUCAAUCAGAGCCUUGCAGGUUUGACAAUACAUACUUGUCAGGGACCAGUGUAACGCAUAUUCUUUUAAACAGCUUGU